GACGAACGCUGGCGGCGUGCUUAACACAUGCAAGUCGAACGAAGUGCUUAAGACAGAUUCCUUCGGGAUGAAGAUUUAAGUAUCUUAGUGGCAAACGGGUGAGUAACGCGUGAGAAACCUGCCUCGUACAAAGGGAUAGCCUCGAGAAAUCGGGAUUAAUACCUUAUGAUACAUAUUAUACGCAUGUAUGAUAUGUUAAAGCGUAAAGCGGUAUGAGAUGGUCUCGCGUCUGAUUAGCUAGUUGGUGAGGUAACGGCCCACCAAGGCGACGAUCAGUAACCGGUCUGAGAGGAUGAACGGUCACACUGGGACUGAGACACGGCCCAGACUCCUACGGGAGGCAGCAGUGGGGAAUAUUGCACAAUGGAGGAAACUCUGAUGCAGCGACGCCGCGUGGAUGAUGAAGGCUUUCGAGUCGUAAAAUCCUGUCCUUAGGGAAGAUAAUGACGGUACCUAAGGAGGAAGCCCCGGCUAACUACGUGCCAGCAGCCGCGGUAAUACGUAGGGGGCGAGCGUUGUCCGGAUUUAUUGGGCGUAAAGGGUUCGCAGGCGGUUAUUUAAGUCAGAUGUUAAAGACUACAGCUCAACUGUAGAAAGCAUUUGAAACUGGGUAACUUGAGUCAAGGAGAGGAAAGUGGAAUUCCUAGUGUAGCGGUGAAAUGCGUAGAUAUUAGGAGGAAUACCAGUGGCGAAGGCGACUUUCUGGACUUGUACUGACGCUGAGGAACGAAAGCAUGGGGAGCAAACAGG
This 750-nucleotide ribosomal RNA is filed under the name uncultured bacterium. RNAcentral describes it as "bacterial SSU rRNA". It matches the Rfam family "Bacterial small subunit ribosomal RNA", at positions 28 to 776 of the family's 1533-position model. The record is from RNAcentral.